RNAcentral lists this unclassified non-coding RNA (375 nucleotides) under soil metagenome. RNAcentral's name for it is "partial contains 5.8S ribosomal RNA, internal transcribed spacer 2, and large subunit ribosomal RNA". The stretch from base 1 to 120 matches the Rfam family "5.8S ribosomal RNA", at positions 35 to 154 of the family's 154-position model. The record is from RNAcentral.
GAUGAAGAACGCAGCGAAAUGCGAUAAGUAAUGUGAAUUGCAGAAUUCAGUGAACCAUCGAAUCUUUGAACGCACAUUGCGCCCGGCAGUAAUCUGCCGGGCAUGCCUGUCCGAGCGUCAUUUCUCCCCUCGAGCGCAGCUUUCCCCCCCGGGGGAGGGCCGCGCCCGGUGUUGGGGCGCUACGGAGGAGCCCAGCGCUCCCCCGUAGGCCCCGAAAUGUAGUGGCGGUCCCGCCGCGGCGCCCCCUGCGUAGUAGUUUUACAACUCGCAUCGGGUCCCGGCGGAGGACAGCCGUCAAACCCCCCAACUUCAAUCGUUUGACCUCGGAUCAGGUAGGGUUACCCGCUGAACUUAAGCAUAUCAAUAAGCGGAGGA